AUUCAGCUGACGAUUCUCAAAUAGAAAGAAACACGCGUCAUGGAU
Non-coding RNA from Schistosoma mattheei, 45 nucleotides. The record is from Rfam. Lineage: Eukaryota; Metazoa; Platyhelminthes; Trematoda; Strigeidida; Schistosomatidae.